Molecule: non-coding RNA, 2178 nt
Organism: Camellia sinensis
Lineage: Eukaryota; Viridiplantae; Streptophyta; Magnoliopsida; Ericales; Theaceae
Source: RefSeq, a predicted model, not a curated record
UAGUCAGGAUUCAUUCGUUAAAGAAUGGCUCUCUCUCUCUCUCUUGAUCGAAUCCCUGAUUUCCUUCUCCAUAGAAUCUUUGGUUUAUUGAUUUCGAUUCCUAAUAUGAUCUCAGAGACUCUUGAUUUGCACUUCUAAUCGGUGGUUUGUUGAUUUCGUUUCUGAGGAGUCUCAUAUCGUCUCUCAUGACAAUUAUUUCAGUAUCCAGUAUCAACAACGGUCUCUUCAACACUGACUCUAUCUUCGAGGAACAACACCAAUGGCAACAAGAGCAAGAAUGCUAUAGCGUCAUCUACAUCUCUUCGCCAGAAAACCCUAAGUCCGAUCUCGGAAUUGAAGGAAUUGGCCUCUUCGCUCUUGGACUCUGCCAAGUGCCAUUUUGAUCGCUUGCAUUAGGAGAUCCUCAAGGACCUGGAGGCCUCUCUCUCUCACUCUCUCUCUCUCAUCUCCAUGAAUGAUUAAAGGUCCCUCUCUCUCUCUCUCUGAAAUGUUAUUGUGACGUGCUUUAAUUGCUUGAGCGAAAUUUCACCAUAGAACUACAAGUUGAGUUCUGAUUGUUCUGUCUCUAUCUCUCUGUGAGCACACACGAGUGUGUGCUCCUCUGCAUUGUUGUUGUUGUUGUUGUUGUUGUUGUUGUUGUUGUUAUUAUUAUUAUUAUUAUUGUUAUUAUUAUUAUUAUUAUUAUUUGUAAUCUCAAGUUCAUUUCUAGAAAGAAAAACUAAAUGUAGAAUGAGAGGCUGAAAUGUUAGGUUCGUUAUAUGUAAUGAUGUGAUAGUUCGAAUUUGAUGUACUAUGACUAGUUUAGAUUAAAUUUCAUGAGAUGACCAUAAUUGUCAUUGAAAUUAUGAGAUUGAUGUCUAUUACAAUGAUAUAAGAUUUUAUAUUAUUGUAAUUAAUAGGUUUUGGGUCAGGUGACCUCUCUUAGGGAGUGUAUUUGUAAUUUAACCAAAAAUAAAUAAAUAAAUAAAAUGGAGCACUUGGUAUGCAACUAGUCCAAACAGAGCAACCGAAAAAGAGGGCAACAGGGAGCAUAAUAAGCAGCCACCAGAUCAACCAACAAGUGAAUCCAAUGCCUGAGUUGUAUUGAAUCAACUAUCUACCUACCUGAAUGAGUCAAAAGACUAAUCAACUCAUUUUUAACUCUUAAGCCAUAAAUAAUUAGAUUUUUAUCCUAUCCUAUCAUAUCCCCAUUUGCUUUUGUAUUGAAGCAUGCACCUGUAUAAGAUCAGAGUGUUUUCAUUAGUAGCUGAAGCAUUGAGAAAGAGAGAAAAAAAGGAAUGGCCUACUCUUCCUCUUGGCCUAGUUUCUUUUUGUUGGUUUGACUCUUACUUGGCUUCUUAUUUGCAGACUGGGUUAACAAUAUUUGUAGCAGAUCCCAAAAUAUUGGUUUUUGCACCACAACUUUAAGGAUAAAUAAAAAAAAUUUAUUCAUGCAUGAUAUGACUACUACUCGUCACAAUUUGGGAUGAAGUCGCUAAGCACUGAUGAUGCAUCUUCAGUAUUAGAUGUUUUUGGUGGCAGCUCAAUUAACUUGAUUAAUGUGAAUUGUGUAAUUAGCCAAAGUGACCAUGCCCCAAAGAAGAGAUGGCAAAAUUGGUGAUGAUGUAGAUCAGUCACAGAUUGAUGAUGGAAGAGAUUGUAUUACCUUGCCAUAAUGUGGGAAGGUGGUGAAAUGUGUGCAAUGAAGGAGGUUACAUUAUUCUCGGAUGACGUAAAGUCAAAGGAAAGUGCAAAGCAGCUGGGACAAGGAUAUUAAAGGAGCAAAUAUCCUUGUGGACCCAAAUGGCCGUAUCAAAUUGGCUGAUUUUGGAAUGACAAAGCAUGCAACAAACAAGAACCGAUUCAACAUUCAAACACAAACCAUUUAAAUUUGGAUCUGGGCUUCAAGAGCCAUAAUGAAAACCAUGAAUCAAAUGGUGGAAACAAGGAGGCCAAGUUGGGUAGACCAAGAUCAGGUUGGUUUCGGACAUAGUUUGAUAUACUUCAACAUUAUCCCGGUCACAGAAAACAAAAGGAUGAAAAAGAAAUGACUUGUCUUUAAAUUGCUGAUUAUGGUAUUAUUCUUAUGCUUUUGAUUAUUUGAUUUUUUGCUGGAAAUGUCAAUGUCAAAUUGCUUUCUUUUGGAUGUUUGUGAUGAUAUAUUAGAAUAAUUGCUGAUAAUAAAUAAGUAUAUAUGAA